UCCGAAUAAUCAAUCGUUAGAAUGAUAAUAAGUAUAUACUAGGAAACAAAUGCUGAUAAAAAAGCACAUACAGAUGCUAAGUGAAACCUGUUUUAAAAGAGCACUCUGUGAUACAAGGAAAAAACUCAAAACUUAACUCAAAAGUGGUCUCAUCAAACAGGUGGUAUGUUAGUACAGAUUCCAUUUACGUAUGCAAUGCACUCCAAAGGGAAUUUAAAUUAAUGGUCUUAUAAAAUAUGUUUUUGUUUAAUAAAUGUGGUCUCUAAGUCCGGUUUGAAAUGUACGUAGACGGACUCGAAAUUGUUGUAAAUCGGCAAAUACAAACCGUCACUCGAACUGUAAAUAUAACUUAUAGAUACAUGAUAGACUACUUCUCAUUUCACACUUUCAUUAAUUGCUACAUCAAGUCUCUCUUGUCUGUGCACAUUGGUUAUUAAAGAACAACCCAAAAUCCAAUAUUAAUUGAUUGUUUGUUUCUUGUUAAACGUUAUGUGGCAAAUACCUCAGGACAAGCAAUGUAAAGUUAAAUAUGCAGCCAUAAUAAAGAAAUAUCCGUUAUGUAUUAGCCUAACAUUCUAGUCGGCCAAUCCACCUCCUCCUCUCGUCAGUGGUCGGCUGUGAAGUAGUGAGCCUGAACUUAUUAUGAGUAUGCAGUUCGGAACGUGACAGUUGAAAACGAUACUUUAAAAAAUAAAAAUGUGUAGAACCCUUGCAUUCCGCUUAUUCAUUGUAUUAAGGAAUAUCUCGUUCCGACAUUUGGGUGAAACGCAUGUUCUAUCCUUUAUUAGAUAAGCCUUUGUAAAUGCUAAAUCGCUCUUUUAAAUUCAAAAGUGCAGAUAUUUGUGGUAGAUUUAAAACCAUUUUUAUAGGGUAAUUUUAUAUAUGUUGCCGACCACAAGUCCUGGGUGCGGAAAGGUCUUUGAAUUCUCUGAUAUCAUAACAAAAUUUAAAUCCAACUGGUUAAAAAUAUUAAAGCUCUUCAGCUACUUAAAAUUCUUAAUUAGAAAAUCGUCGUUGUUAUUAUCAUAAUAUAUGUGAGGGCCUAGAUGGGUCCCUGAAUUCUGUAUUAUUUUUUAAUUUAGCUACUUAAAAUUCUUAAUUAGAAAAUCGUCGUUGUUAUUAUCAUAAUAUAUGUGAGGGCCUAGAUGGGUCCCUGAACUCUGUAUUAUUUUUUAAUUCUUUUCUCUAUUCUUUAUAUUUUAGCACAUCAUUGACUGUACUGUAUAUUUUGUAUUCUCUAUUUCUAAUCUUUCUCUUUUUCUACUAUUUUUUGUCUUUUCUUUAUUUUUUAUCCGUUAAUCUCUAUUCUGUAAACCUCGUCCAGAUAUAUAUGACCUACAUAAGUAAAAAUGUCACAUUUACCUUUCGCAGUAUAUGAAAUAUGUUAUUGAUAUAACUUAGCAAAAGCCCACAUGGGAAAUCCAGGUAACAAGUUCAAAGCCAGGUACAUAUUUAUCUAGAACGACAAACAAUGUUUUUUAAUCGUUUCGAUCAAUAAACAAAUAUGUUUACACAACUAGUCAUGUGUUGUUUAUUUAUGAUUCAAUCAGCUGAUUACAAAUUGAUGAUGAAACCGUUGAUUAUAUAAACUAAUCUCUCUGGAUAUAUAUAAAUAUGUCUUAAUGAGGGAAAACCUCUAAGAAGCAAAAAUAGAUCAUAAAUAAGCAAAAACUUAUAUUGCUAAGCUUUAUUAAAAAAGAGCACUGUAUAACAAUUUCUAUAAUGAACCAUUACAUUGUUUAUAUAUACAUAUAUGUAUAUUAUUAGUAAGAAAGAGAAAUGAGUCGAACGUACAAAGGUGACGGAGCAAAAAUAACACUUGAUGACUAUAUAUGAUCAAUGUAUGCACUCAAAAUGCAAAGAGAUAGGACCGUUAUCUCCGUGUCGUUUCUUUCACUAACGUGGUCAAAGUCUAAAUAUGAUUUAAACCUACAAGAAUUCGAAUAUCAAACUGUCUCUAUAAUUAUUGAUAUAAAUUAACAUCUUCUAUAACAC
Molecule: long non-coding RNA, 1995 nt
Filed under: Mytilus galloprovincialis (Mediterranean mussel)
Lineage: Eukaryota; Metazoa; Mollusca; Bivalvia; Mytilida; Mytilidae
Source: RNAcentral